CCUACGGGUGGCAGCAGUCGAGAAUCUUUCACAAUGGGGGAAACCCUGAUGGUGCGACGCCGCGUGGGGGAAUGAAGGUCUUCGGAUUGUAAACCCCUGUCAUGUGGGAGCAAAUUAAAAAGCUAGUACCACAAGAGGAAGAGACGGCUAACUCUGUGCCUGCAGCAGCGGUAAUACGGGGGAUGCGAGCGUUAUCCGGAUUUAUUGGAGUUAAAGGGUGCGCGGGCGGAGGUGAAAGUCAGCGGUCAAAUUGCGGGGCUCAACCCCGUACUGCCGUUGAAACUGCAUCACUUGAGUGCGGGAGAGGUAUGCGGAAUGCGUGGUGUAGCGGUGAAAUGCAUAGAUAUCACGCAGAACUCCGAUGGCGAAGGCAGCAUACUGGCGCGCAACUGACGCUGAGGCACGAAAGCGUGGGUAUCGAACAGGAUUAGAUACCCGGGUAGUC
Molecule: ribosomal RNA, 445 nt
Filed under: uncultured bacterium
Lineage: Bacteria
Description: partial 16S ribosomal RNA
Rfam family: Bacterial small subunit ribosomal RNA
Source: RNAcentral